Molecule: ribosomal RNA, 394 nt
Filed under: uncultured bacterium
Lineage: Bacteria
Description: bacterial SSU rRNA
Rfam family: Bacterial small subunit ribosomal RNA
Source: RNAcentral
UCUUGGACAAUGGGCGCAAGCCUGAUCCAGCCAUGCCGCGUGAGUGAUGAAGGCCUUAGGGUCGUAAAGCUCUUUCGCCUGUGACGAUAAUGACGGUAGCGGGUAAAGAAACCCCGGCUACCUCCGUGCCAGCAGCCGCGGUAAUACGGAGGGGGUUAGCGUUGUUCGGAAUUACUGGGCGUAAAGCGCGCGUAGGCGGACUAUUAAGUCAGGGGUGAAAUCCCGGGGCUCAACCCCGGAACUGCCUUUGAUACUGGUAGUCUUGAGUUCGAGAGAGGUGAGUGGAAUUCCGAGUGUAGAGGUGAAAUUCGUAGAUAUUCGGAGGAACACCAGUGGCGAAGGCGGCUCACUGGCUCGAUACUGACGCUGAGGUGCGAAAGUGUGGGGAGCAAAC